UGCCAGCAGCCGCGGUAAUACAGAGGGUGCGAACGUUGCUCGGAAUUACUGGGCGUAAAGCGCGUGUAGGCUGACUAGCAAGUCAGGUGUGAAAUCCCUGGGCUCAACCCAGGAACUGCAUCUGAAACUGCUGGUCUUGAGUGGUGGAGAGGAAUGGCGGAAUUCCCGGUGUAGAGGUGAAAUUCGUAGAUAUCGGGAGGAACACCAGUGGCGAAGGCGGCCUUCUGGACACCUACUGACGCUGAGACGCGAAAGCGUGGGGAGCAAACAGGAUUAGAUA
Molecule: ribosomal RNA, 280 nt
Filed under: uncultured bacterium
Lineage: Bacteria
Description: partial 16S ribosomal RNA
Rfam family: Bacterial small subunit ribosomal RNA
Source: RNAcentral